RNAcentral lists this ribosomal RNA (351 nucleotides) under uncultured bacterium. RNAcentral describes it as "bacterial SSU rRNA". It matches the Rfam family "Bacterial small subunit ribosomal RNA", at positions 28 to 381 of the family's 1533-position model. The record is from RNAcentral.
GACGAACGCUGGCGGCGUGCUUAACACAUGCAAGUCGAGCGGUAAGGCCCUUUCGGGGGUACACGAGCGGCGAACGGGUGAGUAACACGUGGGUGACCUGCCCUCAGCUCUGGGAUAAGCCUGGGAAACUGGGUCUAAUACUGGAUAUGACUCCACGGUGCAUGUCGUGGGGUGGAAAGCCUUGUGCGGCUGAGGAUGGGCCCGCGGCCUAUCAGCUUGUUGGUGGGGUGAGGCCUACCAAGGCGACGACGGGUAGCCGGCCUGAGAGGGCGACCGGCCACACUGGGACUGAGACACGGCCCAGACUCCUACGGGAGGCAGCAGUGGGGAAUCUUGCGCAAUGGGCGAAAG